Molecule: ribosomal RNA, 301 nt
Filed under: uncultured bacterium
Lineage: Bacteria
Description: partial 16S ribosomal RNA
Rfam family: Bacterial small subunit ribosomal RNA
Source: RNAcentral
CAGUCGCCGCGGUAAUACAGAGGGUGCGAGCGUUAAUCGGAUUUACUGGGCGUAAAGCGUGCGUAGGCGGCUUCUUAAGUCGGAUGUGAAAUCCCUGAGCUUAACUUAGGAAUUGCAUUCGAUACUGGGAAGCUAGAGUAUGGGAGAGGAUGGUAGAAUUCCAGGUGUAGCGGUGAAAUGCGUAGAGAUCGGAAGGAACAUCUGUGGCGAAGGCGACUAUCUGGGCCAACACUGACACUGAGGCACGAAAGCGUGGGGAGCAAACAGGAUUAGAUACCCCUGUAGUCCCUGUCUCUUAUAC